GACGAACGCUGGCGGCGUGCCUAAUACAUGCAAGUCGAGUGGAGUUAUUCCUUCGGGGAUGACUUAGCGGCGGACGGGUGAGUAACACGUAGGCAACCUGCCUGUAAGACUGGGAUAACUACCGGAAACGGUAGCUAAGACCGGAUACACAACUUGGUCGCAUGACUAAGUUGGGAAAAGCGGAGCAAUCUGCUACUUACAGAUGGGCCUGCGGCGCAUUAGCUAGUUGGUGGGGUAACGGCUCACCAAGGCGACGAUGCGUAGCCGACCUGAGAGGGUGAACGGCCACACUGGGACUGAGACACGGCCCAGACUCCUACGGGAGGCAGCAGUAGGGAAUCUUCCGCAAUGACGCAAGUCUGACGGAGCAACGCCGCGUGAGUGAUGAAGGUUUUCGGAUCGUAAAGCUCUGUUGCCAGGGAAGAACGCUAUGGAGAGUAACUGCUCUGUAGGUGACGGUACCUGAGAAGAAAGCCCCGGCUAACUACGUGCCAGCCGCCGCAGUAA
Molecule: ribosomal RNA, 507 nt
Filed under: uncultured bacterium
Lineage: Bacteria
Description: partial 16S ribosomal RNA
Rfam family: Bacterial small subunit ribosomal RNA
Source: RNAcentral